RNAcentral lists this long non-coding RNA (9613 nucleotides) under Homo sapiens (human). Its description in RNAcentral is "HSALNT0078467". The record is from RNAcentral. Lineage: Eukaryota; Metazoa; Chordata; Mammalia; Primates; Hominidae.
CGGCAGCGCGGAAGGCCAGCCUGCAGAGAGGCUGGGCCCAGCGCCCUGACUGACCCAGCCCCGCCACGUCCAAGGUUCCCGCCCUCUGGAGGAAGCCGCGCAAUCACUCCGGGGGCGGGGAGAGACAGACAACUGAGAGGAAGGAGGUACCACGGGCACUCUCUCGCGAGAGGGCCGCAGAGCCGCCUUUGACGGGGGCGUGUACCUGGAGAGCAACGGAGCCUAUGAGGUUGGUCCUAUUUUUACUCUCACUUAUCCCUACUUACCAGAUGAGGAUCCUGAGGCUCAGAAAAACUCUUGACAAAAUUCUCAGGGAAAACUCUUCAGCUCUGGAUGUCUCCCUUUUUGUGGAUCAAACACAAAGGGCAUCAUUCUAAAAUAUAUACAGAACCAUAAAAGCCCCAAAUAGCCAAAGCAACCCUGAGCAAAAAGAACAAGGCUGGAAGCAUCACACUACCAGACUUCAAAAUUUACUACAAAGCUCUAAUACCUAAAAUAACAUGGUACUGGCAUUAAAAAAAAAAAAAAAAUAGGCACAUAGACCACCAAUGAAACAGUAUAGAGAAUCUAGAUAUACCAACUCAUCUUUAACAAAGGUGCCAAGAACAUACAAUGAGGAAACGAUGGUCUUUUCAAUAAAUGGUGUGGGGGAAAGCUAGAUAACUAUAUGCAGAAGAAUGAAACAAGAUUCCUCUCUCUCGCUAUACACAAAAAUCAAAUCAAAAUGGAUUAAAGGCUUAAAUCUAAGACCUGAAACUACAAAACUAGAAGAACACACUGGAGAAGUGCUCCAGGACCUUGGUCUGGGAAAAGAUUUUUUUGUUUAAGACCUCAAAAGCACAGACAACAAAGCAAAAACAGACAAAUGAGAUUACAUUAAGCUAAAAAGUUUCUGCACAGCAAAGGAAACACUCAACAGAGUGGGGGAGACAACCCACAGAAUGAGAGAAAACAUUUUCAAACUAUCCAUCCGACAAGGGAUUAAUGACCAGAAUAAAGAGACCAAACAAUUUAAGCCAAAAACAAAACAAACAAACACACAAAAAAAACAAAAGCCAAAUAAUCUAAAAAGUGGGCAGGUUGGGUGGGGUGGCUCAAGCCUAUAAUCCCAGCACUUUGGGAGGCCAAGGCAGGCAGGUCAAGAGAUCGAGACCAUCCUGGCCAACAUGGUGAAACCCCAUCUCUACUGAAAAUACAAAAAAAAUUAGCCGGGUGUGGUGGCAUGUGCCUGUAGUCCCAGCUACUUGGGAAGCUGAGGCAGUGAGAAUCGCUUGAACCUGGGAGGCAGAGGUUGCAGUGAACCAAGAUCACACAACUGCACUCCAGCCUGAUGACAGAGCGAGACUCCAUCUUGAAAAAAAAAAAAAAAAAAGUGGGCAAAAGAUCCAAACAGACAUUUCUCAAAGGAAGACAUAAAAAUGGCCAACAGGUAUAUGAAAAAAUGCUCAACAUUACUAAUCAUUAGAGAAAUGCAAAUUAAAACAACAUGUUAUUUCACCCCAGUUAAAAUGGCUUGUAUUAAGAAAACAGAUAAUAACAGAUGCUAGUGAGGAUGUGGAGAAAAGAGAACCCUCAUACACUGUUGGUAGAAAUGUAAACUAGUACAACCACUAUGAAGAACAGUAUGGAAGUUCUUCAAAAAACUAAAAAUAGAAUUACCAUAUGAUCCAGCAAUUCCACUACUGAAUAUGUAUCCAAAAGAAAGGAAAUCCGUAUAUCAAAAAGAUAUCUGCACUCCCAUGUUUAUUGCAGCAUUGUUCACAAUAGCCAAGAUAUGGAAUUAACCUAAGUGCCCAUCAAUGGGUGAAUGGAUAAAGUGUGGUAUGUAUGCACAAUGAAAUAUUAAUCAGCCAUAAAAAAUAAUGAAACCCUCUCAUUUGCAGCAACAUGGAUGAUACUGGCGACCACUAUGUUAAAUAAGCCAAGUACAUAAAGACAAAUAUUGCAUGUUGUCAGUCAUACAUGGGAGCUAAAAAUGUGGAUUUCAUGAUGACACAGAGUACAUUGGUGGUUACCAGAAGCCAGAAAGGAGGGGAUGGAGUAGGGGAUGAAGGGGGAAAAAGGAUAUAAGUGUACUUAUUACCACUGAACUGUACACUUAAAAUGGUAAAGAUGGUAUGUUAUGUAUUACCUCAGUUUACAAAAGAAAAAACAAAUGGCAUCAACGUUAAUAAGUGUAAAAGUUGUACUAGGGAUAAAUCCGCCAUUUAAAAGGGAAAUUAGAAAUCUGAAAUAAUGAGUGCAGUUAGACUCUGAAACCCUUGAAGUCCCCAAAAGUCUCAUUCAGAACUGGUCCCAAAAUGAAUACGUACUUUUGUAUCAUUGUCUAAUUAAAGCUGCUUUUUUCAAGUAUUAGUUUGCUUCAAAAUUAAUCUUUUUAUUUGUACUAUUAUUAUGAGUGUUAUUUCCUAUUCUUCAGGUAUAUUUUUUGGAGAACAGUGUUAGUGAAAAGAGCUUGACUGUUAGACAGUCUUGAGUUAAAAUUCACGUUAGCUGUGACGAAGAAACUAUUACAUUAAAUUUUAAUUACUUAAUUUUAUUAUCUACAAUUAAGGAUAAUAAUAUCACCAAAGGUUGUGGAGAGGAUUUAAUGGGAUGACACAUAAAACUAGGACAUAGAGGCAUCUAGCAAAUACACACUUCCUUCCCUUCUCCCUUGUUAUAUACUUAUCCACACGGGCUAGGAUUUCUUUGAAGGAACCAUUUCUAUCUUAGCCAGUGUUCUAUCUGAGGUAUUUGAUGCUCUCUGCUUUUUUCUUUCACACCCCACUUUCAGUCUCUCAGUAUGUACUGUGAGCUCUGCUUUCAGACUAGAUUCGUAACUCAGUGAUUUCCUACUCCUCCACAACCACCACCCUGGUCCAGGCCAUCAUCAUUUUUCAUCUGGACUACUGUAGUCACUUCCUAACUGGACUCCCAACUUCCACUCUUGCUGCUUGCCAUUUAUUGUUCACAUAGCAGCCAAAGUUAUUCUUUCAUAAAUUAGAUCAUGUCACUUCUCUGCUCAAAACCUUCCAAGAGCUCUCCACCACUUUUAGACUAAAUAUCUGAAGUCCUUACCAAAUCCUACUAGAUCUAUGUGAUUUGACCCCAGCCUAUCAUUCGGACUUCAGACCUCUCUCCUGCUACCUUACUGUGCUCCAGCAGCACUGGCCUCCUUGCUGUUCUUUUUUUUUUUUUUUUUUUUUUUUGAGAUGGAGUUUUGCUCUUGUUGCCCAGGCUGGGGUGCAAUGCUGUGAUCUUGGCUCACUACAACUUCCGCCUUCCAGGUUCAAGCAAUUCUCCUGCCUCAGCCACCCAAGUAACUGGGAUUACAGGCGCCUGCCACCACACUCAGCCAAUUUUUUGUAUUUUUAGCAGAGAUGAGGUUUCACCAUGUUGGCCAGGCUGGUCUCGAACUCCUGACCUCAGGUGAUCCUCCUGCCUUGGCCUCCCAAAGUGUUGGGAUUACAGGCAUGAGCCACCGCUCCCAGCCCUCCUUCCUGUUCUUUGAUGGUGCCAAGCAUACUCCUGCCUUGGGGCCUUUACAUCUGCUGUUCCCUCUGCCUGGAAUGCUCUUUCUAGAUUUUUAAUGCCUUACUUUCUCAUUUUCUAACUCAGAGAGGCUGAACCUAGGUACCUCAUUUUAAACAGAUACCCCUGCAAGGGUUUCUUCCUCUCCUUAUGCUUAUUUUCCUCAUAGCACUUACCCCACAUUGAUAUUGAGAUUUUUUUUCUUUCUUUUCUUUCUUUUUCUCUUUCUUUCUUUUUCUUUCUCUUUCCUUCCUUCCUUCCUUUCAUUCUUUUCUUUUUCCUUCCUUCCUUCCAUUCUUUUCUCUCUCCUUCCUUCCUUCUCCCUUCCCUCCCCUCCCCUCCCCUCAUAUAGGGGUCUCACUAUGUUGCCCAGGCUCCUGGACUCAAGUGAUCUUCCCACCUUAGCCUCCCAAGUAGCUGGGAUUAUAGGCACACACCAGCACACCUGACUCUAUGUAGUCCCACCUGAAAUGUAAGUUUCCCUCUGAAAUACAGGUUCAAUACUUUGUUUUGUUCACUUUGUAUCAUCAGCAUUUACAUCUGCCAGGCAUUCAAAAAUAUUCGUUGAAUAAGUAAGUGAGCAAACUUACCUGCUUCCACAGCCAUCCUUUCCCCUCUCCCUAGAGAUGUUUUUCUUCCUGUCUGAGAUUAUAAUGUCUCCCCUGUGUCCUGCCUCCUCAGCAUUCCUUAAUAUUGCCUAUCUUCCACAUUCAGUUCUCCCUGGCUACAUUUUUUGUUUUCUGGCAAGCAUACAUCUCUCCCAUCUUAAAUUAAAACAAAAAAAGAGAAAGAAAAUUCUCUCUGGGCAUCCCCUGUCAGCUGCCAGUCUCUGUCUCUCCUGCUCUUAACAAACUUUUGAAAUAUUUAUUUAUACUCUUUGCAUUGCCUCAAUUCUCUUUCAUUCAAGUUUCUCCAAACCCAUAGAAACUGUUCACUCCUGCUUUAAACUUUCUUUCCUGAGCUCUUCCAAGAUAUUACUCUCUUAUUGUUUUUUUAAUCUUACUUCCCUGAUUGCUACUUUUCCUGUCCCUCCCUCAAAUUUUGUAUAUCACAGCGUUCUGAUACAAGUUCUUCAUGUUCUCCAGAUUCUUCCUUGGCAAUCUUACUACAUCCAUUGCUUUAGUUACCACCUAAACCUGGAAGCCCAGCUCAGAUUUCUCUGUACUAAGCUCAUGACUUAUUUGACCUAGUGUCUACUUGAUAUCCACCUUGAUUUCCACAAGCACCUCAAAAUAAAGAUGCCCUCUUCCAUCUCCAAACUUGAUUCUCCUCCAGUGUUACUUAUUUUAGUGAGUGGUAGCAUCAUCCAGUUGCUCAAGUAGAAAACAUGGAUAUUGUCCUUGAUUUAUCCUUCGCCUUCAGCCCCCUUCCCCCAUUUAGCCAACCAUUGGCUUCCAUUAAUUCUAUUACAGUGAGAGAAAUUGUAUCCCCCCAGAAAGAUAUGUGAAAGUCCCAGCCCCCACUGCUUAUGAAUGUGAUCUUACUUAGGGUCUUUGUAGAUGUAAUUCAGGAUCUUGAGAGGUGAUUAUCCCGGAUUAGGGAGGGCCCUAAAUCCAAUGACUGAUGUCCUUAAACAUGAAAGGAGAGGGAGAUGUGAGACAAAGACACAGGGGAGAAUGCCAUGUGAAGAUCCCUAUAAGGCUGGAGAGAGAGAUUGGAGUGAUGCUGCUACAGGCCAAAGAACACCAAGAAUUGCCAACCCCAUUGACAGCCUGAUUUCAGACUUCUGACCUCCAAAACUGUGGAUGGAAAGCCGAUUUCCAGUCUUUAUGAUAACGCCGAUGUUCCACUUGGGAAAGAUACUGUACAACAAUGAAAGUAGCCCUUUCUUUUGUCUUUCAAAGAAUGUAUUUUUAACAAACAGCCUCUGUGUGAUCCUUUUGACCACACAAUUUGUAGAGUUAACGCUGAAAUUUUCAUUAGCAACAAUGAAAGCACACACAGGCACAAUAUUAAUAUAGAUUAAUAUCAGCCUAUUUUGGUCAGAAAGGCUCAUUUAAAUGUUUAAGAGACAGAAGUCCCAAAUUGUAGUAAUUUCUUCCACUAGCAGGAGGAAGCUCAGAAUUAGUUUUUCUACAACACUAGAGGAAUACUACUCAAAAAUAAAAAGGAAUUAACCAUUGAUACAUGCAACAACACAGAUGAAUCUCAAAGUAAUUGUGCUGAAAGAAACCAGACCCAGAAAAAGAUAAAUUCUAUAUGAUCUCAUUUAUAUAAGACUCUAGGAAAUGCAAACUAAUCUACACAUACAGAAAACUGAGGGCAGGUACUGAGAAGGGUAGGAGGGGGGCGUUACAGAGAGGCAUGAGGAAACUUUUUGGGGUGAUAGAUAUGUUUACUACUUUGAUUGUAAGGAUGAGGUCGCAACUCUGUGCGUGUCAGUGGUAUAUUUUAAUAUGAACGGCUUAUUUUAUGUAAAUUCUACCCCUAUAAAGCUGUUUUUUUUAAAAAAAAAAACUUCUCUUUGAGAGACAUCACCUUUGUCUUUUAAACCAUCUAAUGUUGAAUCUAAAAGUUCAGUGUAAAGUUUAAUAAAAUCAGAGUGUGUAUGUGUCUUAAUUUCCAGGACAUAUAAUCAUAGUGAUUAAGCCAAAAGUGCUUAUAUGAUUACCUAUAAACUAUCAUAGUUAAAUGACUAAAUACCCUGCAUAAGGUAAAAUGAUUAUUUUAUUCCUAUAGAUUGAAAUUGCCCAACUUUUUAUUAGAGAAUAAUAGAUUAGAGGGCAUGUUGGCUCAUACCUGUAAGCCCAAUGCUUUGGGAGGCUGAAGCGGGAGGAUCCCUUGAGGCCAGGAGUUGAAGAUCAGCUUGGGCAACAUAGCAAGACCACAUCUCUACAAAAAAAUUUAAAAUAAAAUGUUUAUCCAAGCAUAGUGGCACUCACUCACCUGUAGUACUAGCUGCUGAGGAAGCUGAGGCCUGGAGUUCAAACUGCACAACGCUGCACUUCAACCUAUGUGACAAAGUGAGAUCCUAUCUCUAAAAUAAUUAAUUCAGUUUUUAUAAUUAGGGAACAUUUAAAUUCAGAUUAUAAGUAAAAAAUGGAAUAAACAGUCCUGUUACCUGAUAUGGUUUGGAUCUCCAUCCCUACCCAAAUCUUAUGUUGAAAUGUAAUCCCCAAUGCUGGAGGUGGGGCCUGGUGGGAGAUGAUUGGAUCAUGGUGGUGGUUUCUCAUGGUUUAACACCAUCGUCCCCUGGUGCUGUCGCCGUGAUGAUGAAUUCUCACGAGAUCUGGUUGGUUUAAAAGUGUGUGGCACCUCCCCCUUCUCUCUUGCUCCUGCUCCUACCAUGUGAGAUGCCUUGGUCCCCCUUUGCCUUCCGCCAUGAUUCAGAGUUCUCUGAGGCCUCCCCAGAAGCAGAUGCUGCCAUGCUUUCUGUACAGCCUGCAGAACCGUAAGCCAAUUAAACCUCUUUUCUUAUACAUUACCCAGUGUCAGAUAUUUCUUUAUAGCAGUGUGAGAAUGGAUUAAUACACUACGUCAUGCAAAAUGUAAAAACAGGCAACUCACUGAGAGUAAACCUAAUCAACUUGUUCAUUUAGAUAUAAACUGUAGAGACGACACUGCCAUCUAGUUGUUGAAUACUGAGUAUACUGUUGAAACAUUCUUGACAAUGUUCUAUUUCUCUUUUGUAGACUUACAAGGAACACACAGAAGCCCCUAACCAAUUACAUCUCCUUCCUAGGAGUGUGAAUGUGACUGCCAUAGUGCAGCCCAUGCUGCCCCUGGUAAUUAUAUGCCUCAACCCAAGCAGGAGCUUGUGAAAAAUGUGAGAGAAAGGACAAUGUCAUGUACCCCCAGUGUGAAGUAUAGCACCUGGAGAUAGCAGGCAUUCAAUAACUACUGGAUGGAUGGAGGCAUUAUGAAGUUUGCCAAGUUUGUUAACACUACUAAAGGUUUCAAUGAAUGUAAAAACAGUGGCAGAUGGGUGGUUUUCUUGACUGUGGGAAAGGUAAAAUAGUAUAAAGUACUAGCAAGUAUAAACACAGGCAUACCUCAUUUUAUUGCAUUUUGCUUUACUGUACUUUGCAGAUACUGCAUUUUUUACAAAUUAAAGGUUUAUGGCAACCCUCCAACAAACAAGUCUGUUAAUGCCACCCCAAAGUCAUGUGCUCAUUUUGUGUCUCUGUGUCACAUUUUGGUAAUUCCUGCAAUAUUUCAAACUUUGUAUUAUUAUUAUUUCUGUUACAGUGAUCUGUGGUCAGUGAUCUUUGAUGUUACUAUUUUGACCGUUUGUGGGCACCACAAACUGUGCCCAUAUAACAUCAGCGAACUUAAUAAAUGGUGUGUGUGUUCGGACUGCUCUACCAACCGGCCAUCCCCCUAUCUUUCUCCCUCUCCUCAAACCUCCUUAUUCCCUGAGACACAAUACUGAAAUCAGGCCAAUUAAUCACCCUGCAAUGGCCUCCCAGUGUUCAAGUUAAAAGAAGACUUGUACAUCUCUCAUUGUAAAUCAAAAGCUAGAAAUGGUUAAGCUUAAUGAAGAGGCAUGUCAAAAGCCAAGACAGGCUAAAAAAGCUAGGGUCUUGUGCCAAACCAUUAAUUCUUGAAGGAAAUUAGAAGUGUUACUCCAGUAAACACCUAAGAAAACCUUAUUGCUGAUACGGAGAAAAAGUUUUAGUGGUCUGGAUAGAAAAUCAAACCAGCCACAACAUUCCCUUAGGCCAAAGCCUAAUCCAGAGCAAGGUUCUAAAUUCAAUUCUAUGAAGACUGAGAGGUAAGGAAGCUACAGAAGUUUGAAGCUAGUAGAGGUUGGUUUAUGAGGUUUAAAGAAAGAAGUCAUCUCCAUAAAUAAAAGUGCAAGGUGAAGCAGAAAGUGCUGAUGUAGAAGCUGCAGGAGUUUAUCCAGAUCCAGCUAAGACCAUUGUUAAAGGUGGCUAUACUCAGUAACAGAUUUUCAAUGUAGAUGUAACAAGCCUUUUAUUGGAAGAAGCCACCUUAGACUUUCACCGCUACAGAGAAGUCAGUGCCUGGCUUCAAAUCUUCCAAGAACCGGCUGACUUGUUAAAAGCUAAUGCUGCUGGUGACUUUAUAUUGAAGCCAAUGCUCAUUUGCCAUUCUGAAAAUCCUAGGGCCCUUAACAAUUAUGCUAAAUCUACUCUGCCUGUACUCUAUAAAUGGGACAAAGCCUGGAAGACAGCACAUCUGUUUACAGCAUGAUUUACUGAAUAUUUUAAGCCCACCAUUGAGAUCUACUGCACAAAAAGAUUCCUUUCAAAAUAUUGCUGCUCAUUAACAAUCAUCUCGUAUCCCAAGAGCUCAGACGGAGAUGGACAACGAGAUUCAUGCUGUUUUCAAGCCUGCUAACACAAUGUCCACUCUAUAGCCCAUAGACCAUGGAGCAAUUUCAACUUUCAAGUCUUAUGAUUUAAGAAAUACAUGUUGUAAGGCUAUUGCUGCCAUAAAUAGUGAUUUCUCUGAUGGAUCUGUGCAAAGUAAAUUGAAAACUUUCUGGAAAGGAUUCACUAUUCUAGAUAUCAAUAAGAACAUUCAUGAUUCAUGGGAUGAGGGCAAAAUAUCAUUUACUGGAGUUUAGAAGUUGUUUCCUGUCCUCAGAGAUGACUUUUAAGGGUUCAAGACUUCAAUGGAGGAAGUAACUGCAGAUGUGGUAGAAAUUGCAAGAUAACUAGAAUUAGGCCAGGUGUGGUGGCUCAAGCCUAUAAUCCCAGCACUUUGGGAGGCUAAAGUGGGCAGAUCGCUUGAGGCCAGGAGUUUGAGACCAGCCUGGAGUGAAACCCUGUCUCUACAAAAAAUGCAAAAAAUUAGCCAGGCAUGGUGGCGUGUACCUGUAGUCCCAGCUACUCUAGAGGCUAAAGUGGGAGGAUCACUUGGGCCCAAGAGGUAGAGGCUGCAGUGAGCUGUGAUGGUGCCACUGCACUCCAGCCCGGGGGCAGAGCAAGACCCUAUCUCAAAAAGAAAAAAGGCCAGACGUGGUGGCUCAUGCCUGUAACUCCAGCACUUUGGGAGGCCAAGGCGGGAAGAUCAUUUGAGCUCAGAAGUUCAAGACCAACCUGGGCAACAUGGCAAAAUCCUGUCUCUACUAAAAAUACAAAAAUUAGCCAGGUGUAGUGGCACGCACCUGCAGUCUUAGUUCUUGGGAGGG